UUUGAUUCUAGCUAUUAAAUUUAAAUUUUUUAUAUUUAUACAUGCAAAAAUUUUUUCUCCUGUUAAUUUUUUUUAACUUAAUUUAAAAUUAAUAUAAAAUAUACGUCUGCAGUAAUUAAUUCUAGAUAAAUUAUAUCAGUAAGUUCUGGUUAAAAAAAGAAAGUUGGUAAAAUUCGUGCCAGCUACCGCGGUUAUACGAUAGACUUAAAUAAAUUUUUUUAGAAAAAUGAAAAUUAAAAUUUAUCGAUAUAUUACACUUAAAAAUUAGUUUAAUAUUAAUAAUAUUAUUAUUCCUUAUAUAUCAUAAUAAUUUAUUCAUGAAAGCUUAAGCAAAAACAAGGAUUAGAUACCCUUUUAUUUUAAGCCUUAAAUAUCUAGGGUACUACUAAUACAUAUUAAAAACCCAAAGAACUUGGCGGUACUUUAUCUAAUUAGGGGAAUCUGUUCAUUAAUUCGACAACCCACGUAAACCUUACCUUUAUUUGAAAUAUUCAAUUUGUAUACUGCCGUCAUCAGUUUAUCAUUUAAAUGAAAAUAAACAAAAAAAUUUUUUUUUUAUGUCAGGUCCUAGUGCAAUUAAUAUAAAGGAUGAAAUGGAUUACAAUCAAUAACACAGCAAUAGAUAAAUAAUGAAAUAAUCCUGAAAUUGGACUUAAAAGUAAUAUUAGAUAACAAACUAAUAUGAAUAAAGAUAUCUAAAGUGUGCACAUAUCGCCCGUCACUCUUUUUGAAAAAAAAGAAAAGUCGUAACAUAGUAGGCGUAAUGGAAAUUGUGCCU
Molecule: non-coding RNA, 778 nt
Filed under: Spirobrachia sp. YL-2014
Lineage: Eukaryota; Metazoa; Annelida; Polychaeta; Sabellida; Siboglinidae
Source: RNAcentral